GCCGGCGUGGUGAAAUUGGCAGACACGCUAGGUUUAGGACCUAGUGCCGCAAGGCAUAGAGGUUCGAGUCCUCUCGCCGGCACCA
Molecule: transfer RNA, 85 nt
Filed under: Parcubacteria group bacterium
Lineage: Bacteria
Description: tRNA-Leu
Rfam family: tRNA
About the family: Transfer RNA (tRNA) molecules are approximately 80 nucleotides in length. Their secondary structure includes four short double-helical elements and three loops (D, anti-codon, and T loops). Further hydrogen bonds mediate the characteristic L-shaped molecular structure. tRNAs have two regions of fundamental functional importance: the anti-codon, which is responsible for specific mRNA codon recognition, and the 3' end, to which the tRNAs corresponding amino acid is attached (by aminoacyl-tRNA synthetases). tRNAs cope with the degeneracy of the genetic code in two manners: having more than one tRNA (with a specific anti-codon) for a particular amino acid; and 'wobble' base-pairing, i.e. permitting non-standard base-pairing at the 3rd anti-codon position.
Source: RNAcentral